AUUGAACGCUGGCGGCAGGCCUAACACAUGCAAGUCGAACGGUAACAGGAAGAAGCUUGCUUCUUUGCUGACGAGUGGCGGACGGGUGAGUAAUGUCUGGGAAACUGCCUGAUGGAGGGGGAUAACUACUGGAAACGGUAGCUAAUACCGCAUAACGUCGCAAGACCAAAGAGGGGGACCUUCGGGCCUCUUGCCAUCGGAUGUGCCCAGAUGGGAUUAGGUAGUAGGUGGGGUAACGGCUCACCUAGUCGACGAUCCCUAGCUGGUCUGAGAGGAUGACCAGCCACACUGGAACUGAGACACGGUCCAGACUCCUACGGGAGGCAGCAGUGGGGAAUAUUGCACAAUGGGCGAAAGCCUGAUGCAGCCAUGCCGCGUGUAUGAAGAAGGCCUUCGGGUUGUAAAGUACUUUCAGCGGGGAGGAAGGGAGUAAAGUUAAUACCUUUGCUCAUUGACGUUACCCGCAGAAGAAGCACCGGCUAACUCCGUG
RNAcentral lists this ribosomal RNA (490 nucleotides) under uncultured bacterium. RNAcentral describes it as "partial 16S ribosomal RNA". It matches the Rfam family "Bacterial small subunit ribosomal RNA", at positions 30 to 507 of the family's 1533-position model. The record is from RNAcentral.